Molecule: long non-coding RNA, 214 nt
Filed under: Lathyrus oleraceus (garden pea)
Lineage: Eukaryota; Viridiplantae; Streptophyta; Magnoliopsida; Fabales; Fabaceae
Description: Pisum sativum (pea) long non-coding RNA (PSAT_LNC023574)
Source: RNAcentral
UCGUAUCUUCUUUUGGUAAUUGGCUUCCGCUCUUUGCAACCUCAAACACUCACGGUGUUCUCCAUCCAACAUUGCUUCUAUCUCCUCAUAGGACCUCUUUUUGCCUCCCAAUCUACUAGCACUUUCACCUUGCACGCCUUUGAGUUUAUGGGCCAAACUCAACUUAUCAGCUUUGGCUUUGUAAAGGUCCAACUGGAUCUCUUGUUCCUUCUCU